RNAcentral lists this long non-coding RNA (1778 nucleotides) under Marmota monax (woodchuck). The record is from RNAcentral. Lineage: Eukaryota; Metazoa; Chordata; Mammalia; Rodentia; Sciuridae.
GCUGACGGCCCCUCCUCUCCCCAGCUUUGAACUGGACGCUGCCUGGAGCCCCCUUCACAAGACGCACUCUGUCCUGCUGACCAGCUGGGACCUGCUGGAAAACCUCUUGCCUGACCCCCGAGACCUGCCGUCCUCCUUACAGCGCCUUCCCGGGAAGCCUCCUGAGCGUCCUCAGGGGCAGCCCCUGCCUAGGAUGAGCAGGCGAUUUCAGUUUACCUGGCCCGGGACUCGGCUGUGGACCUCGGCUGUGGACACCGCCGUGGGCCACAGGGGAGGCUGGGCCCCUGCUGCGUGCUGUUGGGUGAGCCGGGGCCCUAACCUUCGGGCUUCCCCACCUCUGGUGCCCUCCCGGCUUUUGUUUCCAACAAAAAUCAUCAUCAGUUGUUUGUUGAGGCUGCCCAGCCCCAUGAGGGGUGCAGGGGACGGAAGCCUCUCCUCUCUGAGGGGUGUUAUGAGCUGAGCUGUGUCCCCCUCAUGUCCAUAUGUUGGAGCUCCAACCCCCAGAACCUCACAAUAUGAGUGCAUUAGGCGCUGGGGUCUUAGAGAGUAAGUGGGUUAAAACAGGGCCGUCAGUGUGAGCUCCAUGCAAUGCGACGGGUGUCCUUAGGAGCAGAGGACACUAGGGCCAGGCACACACAGAGGGACAACAUGUGAAGACACAGGGAGAAGAUGGCAUCUACAGGCCGAGGAGGGAGGCCACAGAAGGAACCGGCCCUGCGGAUACCUUGACCUUGACCUUGGACUUUCAGCCUCCACAACUAGGAAGCUGAAUUUCUGAUGCUCAAGCCACUCAGUCUGGGGUCCUUCAUCCCUAGCGAAUGAUACAAGGAACUUGGAAUUCCAAGAUGGAAGAAGCCCAAAGCGUGUUGAACCUAGCCGCCAUGGACAAGGGCACUGUCACCCGGCCCCUGGGAAAGACAGGAAGGAAGGACCGCGGAGGGCGCCACGGUCAGGGGCUAGGAGGAGCUGGCUGAAAGGGCCUUGAGUUCAGAACUGGGAGGGCCCUUGUGUCCUCCCUAGUUGGAAGAAUGAGGAAACGGGCCCAGAGAGGAGGAAGGACCUGCCCAGGUCUGAUCAUGGAGGAGGAAAGCUCCAGCCCCGCCCCGCCCCGCCCAGGCACGCCAUCCUGCGGUUGUCAGGUUCAGUGAUCAACCACUCUGGGGUGCUGGGGAUCUGGCCUUGAGGAACCGCAGUUUUGAGGAGGAAGCCGCCUGGCCACUGGGGCGGGGAAAAACAGCUGCUGUGACUUCACACCUGUAUUUGCAGAGAUUCUUCCUCUAAGCCCCCCGCCCCCCCGUGCUCAGGCAACCAAGAGCUUCCCUUGUGAUGCCCUGGAUCUGGGGUGGAGUAGAGAACAAAGGGGACCCUGGACACUAUCUGGGGGCAGGAGAGACUGAGGUCCCCUAGGGGCUGACCCUUGAGCUGGUCUAGCCACAAGGACCCAGAAGGGAGGCAGGCCAGGUCCCAUCCUCUCUCUGCAGUUCCCCCUGCAUUAGACAACUUCCUGCUGCUGCACUGAAGUACUCCAGGCUGGGUAAUGUGGUAAAGAAAAGAAAUGAUAGCUCCCAGUUCCGGAGGUUAAGGGCAUAGCACCUGCAUCAGCAGACUUUAGCUCAUGUCUUUCCUCAGGUGCUGCUUUCGAUCAGGAUCUCUCGGGGAGAACAAUGAUCUCUGUGAUUCGCUUGUACGUGUCUUCGGCCCAGGUGGGGCUUCAGUGGCUUUUCCUUUUAUCUGACUGAUGGCGAAAGACCCCUUUGGAAUUAAAAGUAUUUACAUCU